UAUCCAAAAAUUGAUAUUUUCUUCCAAAAAGAAAAAAAACUAGAUUCAUGAUGAACAUAUCAAUUUUAUUAAGACAUUCAAGAAUUUGGGUAAGCAAAGUGAAUUAUGAAGGUUACAAAAGUGACAAAAUUGUUGUUGGACAAUCAAUUUCAUUCUUGAAUCUCAAAGCAACCAUAUUAGACGAGUUAGAGAUAGAAGAGGGAAGGAAAAAUAUAAAAAUUCAUACAUCGUGGAAGGUAAUUCAUCUCCGAUGAAAAUUAAGAACGACAUGGGUGUUAGGCUAUAUUUAAAAGUGAGAAAAAUGAGUCUGGAUUUUCAAUGUAUCAAUUAUGUAUUGAUAGAAUGGAUAAGAUUGGUGAUGAAAUACAUAACUUUGAUGGAACUUGCGGAGAGAUUACGUGUAUCGAAGGUACAACAAGGGAUACAAAAGAUCUUGCAGCGUUUGAAUCAAGACUUUGUGAUUCAAUUAUAUUUCAGAAUGAGAAGUUACAAAUUACGUAAUUGAUUCAAACAAUAGAGAUGUGAAGACAUGUCAAUUGUACAAGGAUAAGGCAACACUGUGAUGACGAAAUAUAAAAUAAAGUACAAUUUCAAUUGCAAAGUAAAACGAUCUUAUAGACAAAGGUUGUUUUAUCAUCUGAAUUUAUUUUCUCGAUUUAUGAAGUUAGAAGAAGAUACAUUGUUUGUCUUGAGAAGAAAAAAAGUGCUUGUUGCAAAAUUCAACUAGAUGAGAUUCCUUGCGCACGUGCAAUUGCGUUUUGAAGGACAAAAAUGUUACAUGUAUGUAUCAUUAUUGCUCUGAUUACUACAAAUCUGAUUCAUUAGCAAAAGUUUAUGAGGCUCAAUAUUAGAUAAAGAAGAUUGGUCAAUUCCUACAAUGUUGUAGAUGAAAGUGUAUCGCCACCUAGAUACAAAAGAUUGGUUGGACAUCAAGAAAAAGAAGAAAAAUAUGCAGAUGAAAAAAUAAAAGUAAACACGAAUAGUUGUGGCCAAGAAGGUCACAACAAAAGAACUUGUACUUUCUUUUCAAAAGUAAAGUGAAAUCGUUAUUUUAAUAAAACAUUCAUGCUUUCUUGAAUAA
Long non-coding RNA from Solanum pennellii, 1081 nucleotides. RefSeq lists it as uncharacterized. The record is from RefSeq and is a predicted model, not a curated record. NCBI's taxonomy places the organism in Eukaryota, Viridiplantae, Streptophyta, Magnoliopsida, Solanales, Solanaceae. The transcript has 2 exons.